Molecule: long non-coding RNA, 390 nt
Organism: Pantherophis guttatus
Lineage: Eukaryota; Metazoa; Chordata; Lepidosauria; Squamata; Colubridae
Source: RefSeq, a predicted model, not a curated record
AAAAAAUUCGUCUAUUCUGCAUCAAGCAUUCUGUUCUGAUUUGAUUUUCUUCCUCUAGUGUUCAUUCAUAGAACUAGGUACUAGGAUCACAUUGUUGCUGCAGGAGGCUUCCGGAAAUGCUGGAAGUGGCCACUUUUACAACCAUUAAAACGAUACGAAAGCUACCAGUGAUGCAAAGACCCAUGGAAAGAUACAUGCUCAGCAUUACAAGAUAGAAAGACCUGCAUAUGGAUUAGAGAACUAGAGAUAAUAUACGAUAUUAUCAAGAGAGUAAAAUAAUUGAAAUGGAAAUGGGGCUGGUCACAUAGCAAACAUUUAUUUAUAGUGGGAUAUAAUAUGAACCUGACCUACUUAUUACAUACACAUUAAACUUGAUCUCUAAGAGGACAA